This 472-nucleotide ribosomal RNA is filed under the name uncultured bacterium. RNAcentral describes it as "bacterial SSU rRNA". It matches the Rfam family "Bacterial small subunit ribosomal RNA", at positions 355 to 825 of the family's 1533-position model. The record is from RNAcentral.
UGGGGAAUAUUGCGCAAUGGGGGAAACCCUGACGCAGCGACGCCGCGUGGGUGAUGAAGGCCUUCGGGUCGUAAAGCCCUGUCGUAGGGAAAGAACUGGUUGCAGGCUAAUAUCCUGCAGCCUUGACGGUACCCUACAAGAAAGCACCGGCUAACUCCGUGCCAGCAGCCGCGGUAAUACGGAGGGUGCAAGCGUUGUUCGGAAUUACUGGGCGUAAAGAGCGUGUAGGCGGCUGACCAAGUCCGGUGUGAAAGCCCGGGGCUUACCCCGGAAGUGCGCUGGAAACUGGUCGACUAGAGUAUGGGAGAGGGAUGCGGAAUUCCAGGUGUAGCGGUGAAAUGCGUAGAUAUCUGGAGGAACACCGGUGGCGAAGGCGGCAUCCUGGACCGGUAUUGACGCUGAGGCGCGAAAGCCAGGGGAGCAAACGGGAUUAGAUACCCGCGUAGUCCCUGAGCGGGCUGGCAAGGCGCAU